RNAcentral lists this non-coding RNA (111 nucleotides) under Jeotgalibacillus soli. Its description in RNAcentral is "SAM-I sequence". It matches the Rfam family "SAM riboswitch aptamer (S box leader)". From Rfam's summary of the family: The SAM riboswitch is found upstream of a number of genes which code for proteins involved in methionine or cysteine biosynthesis in Gram-positive bacteria. Lineage: Bacteria; Bacillati; Bacillota; Bacilli; Caryophanales; Caryophanaceae. The record is from Rfam by way of RNAcentral.
UUCUUAUCUAGAGAUGUGGAGGGACUUGGCCCUAUGAUACCUCGGCAGCAGAUUUUUACGUUUGUAAAAACACUGUGCUAAUUCCAACAGAUUAAUUCUGAAAGAUAAGAA